ACGCAAGUGUGAAACUUGAAGGAAUUGACGGAAGGGCACCACAAGAACGCGUGGAGCAUGUGGCUUAAUUUGACUCAACGCGGGAAAUCUUACCGGGUCCGGACACACUGAGGAUUGACAGGUAACAUCAUACUUUAUUGUACUUGUAUARUAUCGUAUGUAUAAAUAUGCUAGUCCUUUCAUGAUUAUGUGAUAGGUGGUGCAUGGCCGUUCUUAGUUCGUGGAGUGAUCUGUCUGCUUAAUUGCGUUUCACUAUUGGAUCUAUUUACACGUAUAUGUGUUUCGUUAACUUUGACCCCUUACUUCGGUGAGUGCGUGUCUUAUGUCUAACUCACUAUACAUUAGAUCCUGAAAGCAACGAACGUGACCGCAACCUCUUGUUGCUUUCAUACCCAUGUGUAUUAAUAUAUAUAUUCACGUAUAUUUUAUCAAUGCACUAAGAAAGCUUCGUAUAUACAUAUGCUUAAAUAUAUUCACGUAUAUCUACAGCGUAUCGUAUAUAAAACUAGAGGGACCGCUGUUACUUUCUUAAACCAGAGGAAGGUUGCGGCAAUAACAGGUCUGUGAUGCCCUUAGAUGUUCCGGGCUGCACACGUGCUACAAUGAUUAUUGCAGUGAGCAUCUCAUUUUUUAUCACACCGCAUGCGCGAGUCUAUAUAUUUAUUAUUACUCUUCGGAGUGAUAUAUACUUUAUAUACGAUCUCUGCGCGCGGUAAAGCCUACUUCGAAAGUAAGCGGGUAAUCAAUUAGAAGUAAUGAUUUCCUAUUUUUCUCUGCACACAUAUAUAUGGCGUAUCUACCCGGCUUACCUUGUUGUAAGUUCUUUGUGCGUAGAUAUCGAUUUUACUUCCAUAUGUGCAAUUGUCAAUUCAUGGUGGGGACAGACCAUUGUUUCAAUUGUUGGUCUCGGUCUUAACUAGGAAUGCCUUGUACGGGUCUUUGGUUCAACAAACCACCCGGAAUACGUCCCUGCCCUUUGUACACACCGCCCGUCGCUCUUACCGAUGGACUUCUCUGUGAGUUUGAGGGACUGUCAAAUAUAUUAUAUUACUCUCACGAGUAUUUUUAUAUUGCUAGGAAACUUAAACGAACAGUGUGGUCUAAAGGAAAGAGAAGUCGUAACAAGGCAUCAGUAGGUGAACCUGCAGAAGGAUCA
RNAcentral lists this ribosomal RNA (1156 nucleotides) under Bolivina argentea. RNAcentral's name for it is "bacterial SSU rRNA". It matches the Rfam family "Eukaryotic small subunit ribosomal RNA". The record is from RNAcentral. Lineage: Eukaryota; Foraminifera; Rotaliida; Bolivinitidae.